This 520-nucleotide ribosomal RNA is filed under the name uncultured bacterium. RNAcentral describes it as "bacterial SSU rRNA". It matches the Rfam family "Bacterial small subunit ribosomal RNA", at positions 884 to 1408 of the family's 1533-position model. The record is from RNAcentral.
GGUCGCAGGAUUAAAACUCAAAGGAAUUGACGGGGACCCCCACAAGCGGUGGAUGAUGUGGAUUAAUUCGAUGCAACGCGAAAAACCUUACCUACCCUUGACAUGGCUGGAAUCCCGGAGAGAUUUAGGAGUGCUCGAAAGAGAACCAGUACACAGGUGCUGCAUGGCUGUCGUCAGCUCGUGUCGUGAGAUGUUGGGUUAAGUCCCGCAACGAGCGCAACCCUUGUCAUUAGUUGCUACGAAAGGGCACUCUAAUGAGACUGCUGGUGACAAACCGGAGGAAGGUGGGGAUGACGUCAAGUCCUCAUGGCCCUUAUGGGUAGGGCUUCACACGUCAUACAAUGGUACAUACAGAGCGCCGCCAACCCGCGAGGGGGAGCUAAUCGCAGAAAGUGUAUCGUAGUCCGGAUUGUAGUCUGCAACUCGACUGCAUGAAGUUGGAAUCGCUAGUAAUCGCGGAUCAGCAUGUCGCGGUGAAUACGUUCCCGGGUCUUGUACACACCGCCCGUCACACCAUGGG